This 425-nucleotide ribosomal RNA is filed under the name uncultured bacterium. RNAcentral's name for it is "partial 16S ribosomal RNA". It matches the Rfam family "Bacterial small subunit ribosomal RNA", at positions 354 to 796 of the family's 1533-position model. The record is from RNAcentral.
GUGGGGAAUAUUGGACAAUGGGCGCAAGCCUGAUCCAGCCAUGCCACGUGAGUGAUGAAGGCCCUAGGGUUGUAAAGCUCUUUCACCGGUGAAGAUAAUGACGGUAACCGGAGAAGAAGCCCCGGCUAACUUCGUGCCAGCAGCCGCGGUAAUACGAAGGGGGCUAGCGUUGUUCGGAAUUACUGGGCGUAAAGCGCACGUAGGCGGACAGUUAAGUCAGGGGUGAAAUCCCGGGGCUCAACCCCGGAACUGCCUUUGAUACUGGGUGUCUGGAGUAUGGAAGAGGUAAGUGGAAUUCCGAGUGUAGAGGUGAAAUUCGUAGAUAUUCGGAGGAACACCAGUGGCGAAGGCGGCUUACUGGUCCAUUACUGACGCUGAGGUGCGAAAGCGUGGGGAGCAAACAGGAUUAGAAACCCGGGUAGUCC